Molecule: ribosomal RNA, 441 nt
Filed under: uncultured bacterium
Lineage: Bacteria
Description: partial 16S ribosomal RNA
Rfam family: Bacterial small subunit ribosomal RNA
Source: RNAcentral
CCUACGGGUGGCAGCAGUGGGGAAUAUUGCACAAUGGGGGAAACCCUGAUGCAGCAACGCCGCGUGAGGGAAGACGGUUUUCGGAUUGUAAACUUCUGUUCUUAGUGAAGAAUAAUGACGUUAGCUAAGGAGCAAGCCACGGCUAACUACGUGCCAGCAGCGGCGGUAAUACGUAGGUGGCAAGCGUUGUCCGGAAUUACUGGGUGUAAAGGGACCGCAGGAGGUAAGCCAAGUCAGCGGUGAAAACUACGGGCUGAACGUGUAGAGUGGAGUUGAAAUUGGUUUUCUUGGGUGAAGUAGAGGUUAGCGGAAUUCCUGGUGUAGCGGUGAAAUGCGUAGAUAUUAGGAGGAACACCAGUGGCGAAGGCGGCCAACUGGGCGUUAACUGACGCUGAGGCUCGAAAGUGUGGGGAGCAAACAGGAUUAGACACCCUUGUAGUC